Molecule: ribosomal RNA, 404 nt
Filed under: Nematoda environmental sample
Lineage: Eukaryota; Metazoa; Nematoda
Description: SSU rRNA
Rfam family: Eukaryotic small subunit ribosomal RNA
Source: RNAcentral
UGCUUGUCUCAAAGAUUAAGCCAUGCAUGCCUAAGCGUGAACUAAAUUAAAGUGAAGCCACGAAUAGAUCAUUACCACAGCCGUUGUUUCUUGGAUCUCCGUAAUACUUGGAUAACUGUGGUAAUUCUAGAGCUAAUACACGCAAUCGAGCUCCGACCGUAAGGAACGAGCGCAUUUAUUAGAACAAAACCAAUCAGUGCUUGCACUGUGGUUUGGUGAAUCUGAAUAACUGAGCAGAUCGCUACGGUCUUGUACCGGCGACGUAUCUUCAAGUGUCUGCCUUAUCAACUUUCGAUGGUAGUUUAUGUGCCUACCAGGGUUGUAACGGGUAACGGAGAAUUAGGGUUCGACUCCGGAGAGGGAGCCUGAGAAACGGCUACCACUUCCRAGGAAGGCAGCAGGCA